This 806-nucleotide small RNA is filed under the name Pongo abelii (Sumatran orangutan). RNAcentral describes it as "processed transcript". Lineage: Eukaryota; Metazoa; Chordata; Mammalia; Primates; Hominidae. The record is from RNAcentral.
GCAGGGUCUUCAGGGAGCAGUCCUCUGCCAGGCCAGUUCACUGUUCCUCAUAGCUUGGCUCUUGUGCCUCCUUUGGGCCAAUUAUGUGUGGCAGACCGGGAAAAUGGUCGGAUCCAGUGUUUUAAAACUGACACCAAAGAAUUUGUGAGAGAGAUUAAGCAUUCAUCAUUUGGAAGAAAUGUAUUUGCAAUUUCAUAUAUACCAGGCUUGCUCUUUGCAGUGAAUGGGAAGCCUCAUUUUGGGGACCAAGAACCUGUACAAGGAUUUGUGAUGAACUUUUCCAAUGGGGAAAUUAUAGACAUCUUCAAGCCAGUGCGCAAGAAAUGGAACAUCGAUCAGUUAAAAAGGCUGGCAUUGAGGUCCAGGAAAUCAAAGAUUCUGAACACAAACUCGAGACAAGUUCAGGAAGAGUACUGGGAAGAUUUAGAGGAAAGGGAAGUGGAGGCUUAAACCUUGGUAAUUUCUUUGCAAGCCGUAAGGGCUACAGUCGAAAAGGGUUUGACCGGCUUAGCACCGAGGGCAGUGACCAAGAGAAAGAGGAUGAUGGAAGUGAAUCAGAAGAGGAGUAUUCAGCACCUCUGCCUGCACUCGCACCUUCCUCCUCCUGAAAACCAAGCUUUGAUUUAGAUUAAGAUUUACCCAGAAUGUCAGAUUCCUUUCCCUUUAGCACGUUUAAAGUUCUGUGUAUUUAAUUGUAAACUGUACUAGUCUAUGUGGGACUUUACACACUUUAUUUACUUCGUUUUGGUUAAGUUGUCUUCUGUUUCUAGUUGAGGAGGUUCCUAAAAGUUCAUAACAGUGCCAUU